This 429-nucleotide ribosomal RNA is filed under the name Fusobacteriota bacterium. Its description in RNAcentral is "Fusobacteria bacterium partial 16S ribosomal RNA". It matches the Rfam family "Bacterial small subunit ribosomal RNA", at positions 355 to 776 of the family's 1533-position model. Lineage: Bacteria; Fusobacteriati; Fusobacteriota. The record is from RNAcentral.
UGGGGAAUCUUCCGCAAUGGACGAAAGUCUGACGGAGCAACGCCGCGUGAGUGAAGACGGCCUUCGGGUUGUAAAGCUCUGUUAUUCGGGAAGAACGAUUCGUUUGUGAACAAUGAACGGAAGUGACGGUACCGAAAGAGAAAGCCACGGCUAACUACGUGCCAGCAGCCGCGGUAAUACGUAGGUGGCAAGCGUUGUCCGGAAUUAUUGGGCGUAAAGAGCGCGUAGGCGGUAUGGUAAGUCUGUCUUAGAAGUGCGGGGCUUAACCCCGUGAGGGGACAGAGACUGUCAUACUGGAGUCGCGGAGAGGAAAGCGGAAUUCCUAGUGUAGCGGUGAAAUGCGUAGAGAUUAGGAAGAACACCGGUGGCGAAGGCGGCUUUCUGGACGAGCACUGACGCUGAGGCGCGAAAGCGUGGGGAGCGAACAGG